Molecule: transfer RNA, 78 nt
Filed under: Candidatus Uhrbacteria bacterium CG_4_9_14_3_um_filter_36_7
Lineage: Bacteria; Candidatus Uhriibacteriota
Description: tRNA-Cys
Rfam family: tRNA
About the family: Transfer RNA (tRNA) molecules are approximately 80 nucleotides in length. Their secondary structure includes four short double-helical elements and three loops (D, anti-codon, and T loops).
Source: RNAcentral
GGCCACGUGGUGAAGCUGGUUUAACACAGCGGUCUGCAAAACCGCGAUUCGCCGGUUCAAAUCCGGCCGUGGCCUCCA